GCUUAACCGAAGAAGUGCAUCGGAAACUGGGUAACUUGAGUGCAGAAGAGGACAGUGGAACUCCAUGUGUAGCGGUGGAAUGCGUAGAUAUAUGGAAGAACACCAGUGGCGAAGGCGGCUGUCUGGUCUGCAACUGACGCUGAGGCUCGAAAGCAUGGGUAGCGAACAGGAUUAGAUACCCUGGUAGUCCAUGCCGUAAACGAUGAGUGCUAGGUGUUGGAGGGUUUCCGCCCUUCAGUGCCGGAGCUAACGCAUUACGCACUCCGCCUGGGGAGUACGACCGCAAGGUUGAAACUCAAAGGAAUUGACGGGGGCCCGCACAAGCGGUGGAGCAUGUGGUUUAAUUCGAAGCAACGCGAAGAACCUUACCAGGUCUUGACAUACCAUGAAAAGCUAAGAGAUUAGUCUUUCCCUUCGGGGACAUGGAUACAGGUGGUGCAUGGUUGUCGUCAGCUCGUGUCGUGAGAUGUUGGGUUAAGUCCCGCAACGAGCGCAACCCUUAUUAUCAGUUGCCAGCAUUCAGUUGGGCACUCUGGUGAGACUGCCGGUGACAAACCGGAGGAAGGUGGGGACGACGUCAAAUCAUCAUGCCCCUUAUGACCUGGGCUACACACGUGCUACAAUGGUCGGUACAACG
This 637-nucleotide ribosomal RNA is filed under the name uncultured bacterium. Its description in RNAcentral is "bacterial SSU rRNA". It matches the Rfam family "Bacterial small subunit ribosomal RNA", at positions 607 to 1244 of the family's 1533-position model. The record is from RNAcentral.